ACGGGCGGGGCGAGCGUUGUUCGGAUUCAUUGGGUGUAAAGGGUGCGAAGGCGGUCGUCUAAGUCGAAGGUGAAAUGUCUACGGCUCAACCGAGGCAUUGCCUCCGAUACUGGACGACUUGAGUGCGGAAGGGGAGCGUGGAAUUCCUGGUGUAGCGGUGAAAUGCGUAGAUAUCAGGAGGAACACCGGUGGCGAAGGCGACGCGCUGGGCCUGACCUGACGCUAAGACGCGAGAGCAUGGGGAGCGAACGG
RNAcentral lists this ribosomal RNA (252 nucleotides) under uncultured prokaryote. RNAcentral's name for it is "partial 16S ribosomal RNA". It matches the Rfam family "Bacterial small subunit ribosomal RNA", at positions 525 to 775 of the family's 1533-position model. The record is from RNAcentral.